GCUUCACUGUUCCCUGCGAUUGGCUUCGGGCUCUUCUUGCGCAGCUUAGGUGGGAGGCAGAGAGGGUUCCUUUCCGGGGGGNGCCUGAGCCAUCAGUGAGAUACCACUCCAGGAGAGCUAGAAUUCUAACCUUGUGUCAAAAAUUACGGGCCAAGAGACAGUCCCAGAUAGACAGUUUCUAUGGGGCGUAGGCCUCCCAAAGAGUAACGGAGGCGCGCAAAGGUUUCCUCAGGCUGGACGGAAAUCAGCCUUCGAGUGCAAAGGCANGAAGGGAGCUUGACUGCAAGACCUACCAGUCGNAGCAGGGACGAAAGUCNGGCCUUAGUGAUCCGACGGUGCNCAAGUGGAAGGGCCGUCGCUCAACGGAUAAAAGUUA
RNAcentral lists this ribosomal RNA (376 nucleotides) under Polypodiales environmental sample. Its description in RNAcentral is "partial 23S large subunit ribosomal RNA". It matches the Rfam family "Bacterial large subunit ribosomal RNA", at positions 2098 to 2465 of the family's 2925-position model. Lineage: Eukaryota; Viridiplantae; Streptophyta; Polypodiopsida; Polypodiales; Thelypteridaceae. The record is from RNAcentral.